ACCUAAGAGAUUAAGCGUUCCCUUCGGGGACGGAAUGACAGGUGGUGCAUGGUUGUCGUCAGCUCGUGUCGUGAGAUGUUGGGUUAAGUCCCGCAACGAGCGCAACCCUUAUUGUCAGUUGCCAGCAUUUAGUUGGGCACUCUGGCGAGACUGCCGGUGACAAACCGGAGGAAGGUGGGGAUGACGUCAAAUCAUCAUGCCCCUUAUGACCUGGGCUACACACGUGCUACAAUGGACGGUACAACGAGUCGCGAAACCGCGAGGUCAAGCUAAUCUCUUAAAGCCGUUCUCAGUUCGGAUUGUAGGCUGCAACUCGCCUACAUGAAGUUGGAAUCGCUAGUAAUCGUGGAUCAGCAUGCCACGGUGAAUACGUUCCCGGGUCUUGUACACACCGA
This 395-nucleotide ribosomal RNA is filed under the name uncultured bacterium. Its description in RNAcentral is "bacterial SSU rRNA". It matches the Rfam family "Bacterial small subunit ribosomal RNA", at positions 997 to 1393 of the family's 1533-position model. The record is from RNAcentral.